Felis catus (domestic cat) is the source of this 549-nucleotide long non-coding RNA. RefSeq lists it as uncharacterized. NCBI's taxonomy places the organism in Eukaryota, Metazoa, Chordata, Mammalia, Carnivora, Felidae. The record is from RefSeq and is a predicted model, not a curated record. The transcript is spliced from 2 exons.
UACAGGGACUGUUAGGUCCGCAGGUUCCAGGUUCAAAUCACUGGAAGUAAGGAGUGACGUCCGAGGGACAGAGGGAGUCUCUGCUCCCCCGAGUGUUUUCUUCUCUUUGUACCCCCCUCUGGGUGCUUCCCCAGGACCCUUCCUCCGACCCCUUCCGACGCCAAGGAAACCGGAAUGGGGGGUGUAUGAUUCAGCCUUUUCUUCGGGAAGGAAACCAGCGCUCAUUGAAGAGUCUGAUCUGCUCCAUUGCGCGACUCUCCUGACCCACAGCGUUGCUGCCCUGAGACCCGAGAGCCACUGCCACCCGAUACAGAUGAGGAAAUGGGGACUCAGGGAGGGGAUCAAAUGGGAGUGUGAAGAGUAGCCUCCAGAAGGACACAGGGGAACAGUCCUGGUGCUUGCCUCUGGGCACGGGGGCGGAGAAUGAGGAGACUCACUUUUCUCUUUGAAUGUUUACAUCAUGCCUUACGAGGCGCAUAUAUUCCGAGGGGCUAUAAUUAUAAUGCAUGACCGUGUGCUUGCUCAAUAAAUGAAUGCGAAAGUAAAUAA